RNAcentral lists this non-coding RNA (83 nucleotides) under Phenylobacterium zucineum. RNAcentral's name for it is "ZTP sequence". It matches the Rfam family "ZMP/ZTP riboswitch aptamer (pfl RNA motif)". Rfam says of the family: Previously known as pfl RNA. Lineage: Bacteria; Pseudomonadati; Pseudomonadota; Alphaproteobacteria; Caulobacterales; Caulobacteraceae. The record is from RNAcentral.
UUAACUGCGUGUGACUGGCGAUUGAGGUGGGCAACCACCGGGGAGCACGGGGGCCAUAGACGCCGCUCGCCUGGGCAUUCCUU